CCUGAGAAACCCAAAAGAUCGAUCGGGGAGAUUCAUCGUAAGCGAAUCUGGUACGUGCGCGGUUCGCGAUGCCGCGGGGUAUCUCGUUACGCNGUGGCACGAGUCCGCGCAUUGUUUUAUUGCCAGGUGUCGUCGGCGUGCACUUCUCCCCUAGUAGGACGUCGCGACCCGUUGGGUGUCGGUCUACGGCCCGUUUGGUAGCCUGUCGUGUGUCGCGCCUUGUGCCGACAUGCGGCAGACCUCCGGUCGCCCGACCGGCUGCCCGGCGGUACUCGCACGGUAUCGAGCCGCAAUUAUUUGAACUGCGUUCGGCCCGCCGCAAGCGAGGUCAGUGUUUCCCGGAUGUACGGACCUGGCGCCGUCACCGGGCCUGGCCAGCUGUUGGUCGGCGGUGUCCUGGGACUGGCUCACAAUUUGAAUUAUGAUACCGGUCGGCGACGCUACUGCUUUGGGUACUUUCAGGACCCGUCUUGAAACACGGACCAAGGAGUCUAACAUGUGCGCGAGUCAUUGGGAGCUCUGAAGCCUAAAGGCGCAAUGAAAGUGAAGGUCGGCCUUGCGCCGACCGAGGGAGGAUGGGCCGCGUCACGAUGCGGUCCCGCACUCCCGGGGCGUCUCGUUCUCAUUGCGAGAAGAGGCGCACCCAGAGCGUACACGUUGGGACCC
This 666-nucleotide ribosomal RNA is filed under the name Podeleboea bifenestralis. Its description in RNAcentral is "eukaryotic LSU rRNA". It matches the Rfam family "Eukaryotic large subunit ribosomal RNA", at positions 420 to 817 of the family's 3401-position model. Lineage: Eukaryota; Metazoa; Arthropoda; Insecta; Hymenoptera; Ichneumonidae. The record is from RNAcentral.